Molecule: ribosomal RNA, 253 nt
Filed under: uncultured bacterium
Lineage: Bacteria
Description: partial 16S ribosomal RNA
Rfam family: Bacterial small subunit ribosomal RNA
Source: RNAcentral
UACGGAGGGUGCGAGCGUUGUCCGGAAUCAUUGGGCGUAAAGGGCGCGUAGGUGGCCCGGUCAGUUCGUGGUGAAAGCGCGGGGCUCAACUCCGCGUCGGCCAUGAAUACUGCUGGGCUCGAGCACUGUAGAGGCAGGCGGAAUUCCGGGUGUAGCGGUGGAAUGCGUAGAGAUCCGGAAGAACACCGGUGGCGAAGGCGGCCUGCUGGGCAGUAGCUGACACUGAGGCGCGACAGCGUGGGGAGCAAACAGG